Molecule: regulatory RNA element, 69 nt
Organism: Haliaeetus albicilla (white-tailed eagle)
Lineage: Eukaryota; Metazoa; Chordata; Aves; Accipitriformes; Accipitridae
Rfam family: Potassium channel RNA editing signal
About the family: This family represents a group of sequences related to the human potassium channel Kv1.1 hairpin element which directs the efficient modification of an adenosine to inosine by an adenosine deaminase acting on RNA (ADAR). The ADAR modification causes an isoleucine/valine recoding event which lies in the ion-conducting pore of the potassium channel. It is thought that this editing event targets the process of fast inactivation and allows a more rapid recovery from inactivation at negative potentials.
Source: Rfam
GUGGGCUAUGGGGACAUGUAUCCCAUGACAAUCGGUGGCAAGAUUGUGGGCUCCUUGUGUGCCAUCGCG